CCUACGGGAGGCAGCAGUGGGGAAUUUUGGACAAUGGGCGCAAGCCUGAUCCAGCAAUGCCGCGUGAGUGAAGAAGGCCUUCGGGUUGUAAAGCUCUUUUGUCAGGGAAGAAACGGUGGGAGCUAAUAUCUCCCGCUAAUGACGGUACCUGAAGAAUAAGCACCGGCUAACUACGUGCCAGCAGCCGCGGUAAUACGUAGGGUGCAAGCGUUAAUCGGAAUUACUGGGCGUAAAGCGUGCGCAGGCGGUUUUGUAAGUCUGUCGUGAAAGCCCCGGGCUCAACCUGGGAAUUGCGAUGGAGACUGCAAGGCUUGAAUCUGGCAGAGGGGGGUAGAAUUCCACGUGUAGCAGUGAAAUGCGUAGAGAUGUGGAGGAACACCGAUGGCGAAGGCAGCCCCCUGGGUCAAGAUUGACGCUCAUGCACGAAAGCGUGGGGAGCAAACAGGAUUAGAUACCCUGGUAGUCCACGCCCUAAACGAUGUCUACUAGUUGUCGGGCUUUAAUUAACUUGGUAACGCAGCUAACGCGUGAAGUAGACCGCCUGGGGAGUACGGUCGCAAGAUUAAAACUCAAAGGAUUGACGGCUGAGACGUAGACGACGACGACGACGAGGGAGGAGG
Molecule: ribosomal RNA, 620 nt
Filed under: uncultured bacterium
Lineage: Bacteria
Description: bacterial SSU rRNA
Rfam family: Bacterial small subunit ribosomal RNA
Source: RNAcentral